UCAUGGAUUCAACCAUGAUGUAUUUCUUCCCUAAGUGGACAUCGAGUGUGAUGUGUGUUUGUGUAUCAUAUUAUAUUAUGAAAUAUUAGUCUUCUGUGGAAUGGUUACUGCAGUGCUUCAUUUCUUAUAUUGUUAAUAUCUGUGAAAUUAUUUUUUUCUUUGACAGAUUUCGAUUAAAUCAGGUAAUAAAUACUCUUUAGUUUUGAUACUAUUAAGUAAUUUAUGUUGGCCUAUGUAAUUAAAAUUUCACAUAUUUAAAUGCAUAGAUCAACCUCGAUGUUAAAAUUUUUUGUCAAAUUUUGUUUAAAAUUUUGAAUGAUGGAUGUGUGUGGCCACUUGCAUGUCCAAGUAGAAUCUUCAGGCACUGUUAUUUUUAAGUUCGAAUGCUACACAAUGUUAAAAUGAUUCUAACAUAGAAGAGCAUGCUUUUUAAUGAGUUUGGCACUGAAGAACGCCAAGAUCAGGUUUAUCACCAGUGUUCUGUUGCAGAGGCACAGCGAUCUUUUCAUGUUAUAAAUAUUUUUUACAAGGCACAAGUAUCAGUCCUCUAAGGAAACUGGCAAUAUCAUGUGUCCAUUGUAAACUGCCAAAAUGAUUCAAUUCCAAGUUCAAGGUCUAAAAACAGAAGCAAAGUGAAUCAUGCUUUAUUAGACUUUCUCCCUACCUAUUCUAUGCUGCCCACAGAUGCAGAAAUUUAGCAAUAUUUGUACAUGUACAGAUAUGCCAACAAAGUGCUUGAAUAUUUAAUGUAGUUUUUUUUCUUUUAUUCAUGUUCAGUAAGUGUUUUAUCCUUAUCUAUCCCAGGAGCACUAGAGACGAGGCUGUAAUGCACCCUGUAUCAGACACACAUUCAAACACUACAUUUCCCACUAGGAGCAAGUUGCCAAAUCACCUCACUAUUUUCAGAAAUCCGAAGAUCUGUUUCCAAUACCAUAUUCUAACAUGUAGUAUUAAAUGAAAGUUAAUACGCCCUUGGCAGAUAAUUACUAGGCAAUCAAAGUUCAGAGGCUGUUGCCAAUGAUGAACUGGAUUCACAAAUUUAAUUUCUGAAACCCUAUCUCAGCUUAACCUUCUUAUUAGAAUUUAAUGCGGAUAUAGAAACCACAUCAGCUGUGGUCUCAGGACUUAAGAAUUUUAGUCCCCUACUGAAGUGUGUAUAAAAGAGUUUAGCCAGACUCCUUAAAACUUUCCCAGAUGCUCUCAGGCAGUCUCUGAGUAAGUCCUGUUUGAGUUCAAAUUUACCUAAUUUUUGGUGGAUUCAGUAUAAUAUGGGGAUUUUAGGUUCAGAGUAAAGGCUUAUGGCUUCAUGGGCUUAUGGUCAGUUAUAUUAUUUCUCUGUAAAUUUUUCUGCAUGGAUUAUACCACUUUUAUAGCACAUUAGCGAAUGUUGUUGUUGGCUUUGUCACAAUUGCAGUUUGAUAGCUGUCCCUUUGUAGUUUUAAUUUGAGUAACAUAACAUUUAUUGUGGUAAAGUCAUAUUUUGAAAAUUGUAAACAUAUUUAAGUAUUUGAAAACAUAAACCUACAUACAUUUAUGUAUAAAAUUCAAAUCUCAGGAUUUUUUUAAACACCUAUGUUUCAGAAUGUUCUUAAAAUGGAACAGCUAAUUUCCAAGAUGUUGAUUUUCACCUUUUUUAUUUUUAGAGGCAUGCAGGAUUUUUUUGGAUGAAGUAUUCUAACUGUUAAUUCUCAAAUUCUAAUUUGUAUAAUUCUCCUAAUUUUAAAUACUUUACACAACAUGGCAGUUUGCAUGUGUUUAUCUCAUUUUUAAAUAUUUAUAAGUAUUCUAUUGAGAAAACCGCUGUAUAAAAAGGAACUUUAUCAAUUAUUAAUUUAAUUACUUUAAAAGAAUGUUUACUGAUUACUUAAUCAUUUUAAUAGGACACCGUUUCUAAUUUUUAUUAUGUUCCAUGAUAAUGUGUGAUAUCCUGUUCCCUUUCUUUUUGCUCCAAAUAUUUUUGAUAGUAAUAGGUAAGAGAAUUUUUCCCUGUAGGCUAGAAAAUACCUUGCUCUGUAACUCUGUCUAUGAAUUUCACAGUGUCAUAGUGUUGGAUGUGCUCUAAUUCCUUUCAAGAAUCAAGUCCUUGCUGUCUGAAGCAAAUGACUCUGGAGACAGGAUGUAUGUGCAAGUGUCUGCCAGCAUCAGAUUAUUCCUGUGCUCUACCCUGGCAGUCCGUUCCUUCGUGUCUUCAAGAAGCAGUUGAAGGUCAUAAUGUGAGUGCAGCCAUUUUGAUGGAUAUUUGAAUCAUCGUUAAUCUGGAUGGAGUUUAUAAAUGAUUUUGUCCAGGCUUCUGGUCUCUCUUUGUCAGUUCACAUAUCAUCCUGAAAAGCCAUCUCAAGUCAAGGCCUUGAUCUUUGUAAAAAUCUGGUCGGUAUGAAACAGGCACACCUCAGACACAUUUUAAUUCACUUUGUAAUUCCAAAACAUAACUGUUUUGAAGUUGUAGCAUAUGUAAUUUUUUUUCAUGUUUAUGUAUGAGGUAAUUGAGUGGUCUUCAGCGACAUUCUCGGCAAACAAAAAAGAAAACAACCCUGGAAAGCAUAAAACUUAUGAAAUCAGUGUUUAUGUAAUGCUUUCACGAUUACUACAUAGUCUGAUUUCUUACUUAUGUCAUCUGAAAUAGUCAUGCAUUAAAAGCAUGAAUAUUUCAUAUAAUAUUUUAUUUCUAAUUUAAUUUUUGUAUUUAUGUAGUUAUAUUUUGGUUAUAUUUCUUCACAUUAUGAGAAAUGUCUGGUCUUAUAGCUCUACUCUUGAUCAGCAGGGAAUCAAGUUAAGGCUCAGGCUCAGAUUUAAUACCACAUUAUAACUAUAAUCUACUUCCAAAAUGAAAAAUAAUAUAUUUUGGCAGAUGCAUUUGCAGAAGCUCCUGAGUUACCCUGGAUUGGAUCAAAUUGAAACUCAAUAUCAAGAAUGCUAUGCCCUUAAUAGGAAUAAAUACAGAUAUAGAUACUCACACAGCAGAGUUCUAAUGGCUCAAGAUUUCUGCCUAGAUUCAGGAAGCUUUGUCAUUAAGGCCUCUUCUGAAGGUGAUAUAAAAAUUGUUUUUGUUCAUUUCAGACCCCUACUACAAAAGAGUAUUUAGAUUACAGUUUCAUUUGUAUAUACUGUAUCCAAAAAUAGUUAAUAUAUAAACAAUAUAUACAGACUCAUUCCUUUUUCCUCAUUUUGUUACUUUGCUCUGUGCUUUUUACUGAUUACAUUCUUAAGUCUUUUUGGGUGUAAUGCUCCUAGCCUGGAUUUGGGGAUUUGUGCAUACCUGUCAGGGAGGAUGAAGUGCAUCACCGUAUCACUCUUUUAAAUUUUCUCCAGAAAUAUUUAUUUGGGUUCUAGUCCAUGCUCUGGCUCGGUGACCCAAAGAUGUUCACAGAUGUGUGUUCUAUAUAUGAAGUCUCAAAGCCACUGCUGUAUUGCCUUGGCUGUUUUUUGUGUCAUUGGUGUGUUGGAAAGUGAUCCUUCACCCCCUUCUAAAGUCCUCGGCACUCUUCAUCAGGUUUUAAACAAAACAUGUGCCUGUACUUUGAUCUGCUUGUCUUUCGCUCAAUCCUAACAAGUCUCCCAGUCCCUGGUGCUGAAAAACAUCCUAACACAGCAUUUUUACCAAGCGUAUUAGAGAGUGGAAUGAGUGGAAAACGGGCUUUAGCACCACCUUGGGCCACUACGAAUACCUUGUAAUGCCAUAGGGGCUCUCUAGAGCCCCUCUAUGUUCCAAUGUUUCAUUAACGAUGUCUUAAGGGACAUGUUGGGUAAAUAUGUCAUAACGUAUAUCCAUGACAUCUUAAUUUAUUCCCCUUCCCUUGAAGAUCAUGUCCUACAUGUCCACUAGGUCUUGCAAAGAGUCCUGCACCACCAGCUGUACGUCAAGGGAGAAAAGUGUGAAUUCCAUCUGUGCAGUAUCUUAUUCUUGGGUUAUAUCAUUAGUCCAGAUGGGGUCACCAUGGACCAGUAUAAAGUAGCAGCUGUAGUAGACUGACCCGCUCCUCGCACUGUCAAAGACCUACAAAGAUUUCUAGGCUUUGCCAACUUCUACCGGCGCUUCAUCUGGGGCUUCAGCUCAAUAGCCCACCAGGGAGAAACUAUGAUGUCAGUGACCAAGACCUGUUGGCCGUCAAACUAGCCCUAGAGGAAUGGCGACAUUGGCGUGAGGGGGCCGCCAAACCUUUUGUAAUUUUCAAUCAUCGUAAGAACCUUGAAUACUUGCGCAUAGCCAAACGUCUGAAUCCUUGACAAGCUCAUUGGUCCCUAUUCUUUUGAGGUUUCCAGUUUACCAGUCUUACUGUUCUGGUUCAAAGAACAAAAAAGCAGAUGCUCUGACCCAUAUGCAAGCCACUGAGCCCAACAAGAGCAAGGAGGAGUUAAUUCUUCCAUCUUCCUGUCCACGCCCAGACAACAAAUUCCUUGUUCAUGCCCCCCAAACAAUCUCUUCAUCCCGGAUCGACUUCGAGCUGAGCUUAUCUUCUGGGCACACACCCACACUGCAAUGGCCCUGGUCACACAUUGCCAUAGAUUUCCUCACAGACUUACCAGAAUCACAAGGCAAAACAGCGAUCCUAGUAGUGAUUGAUCGCUUCUCCAAAUCCCUACAUCUAGUUCCACUUCCCACCAUCUCAUCUUUUACCACAGCAGAACUUCUCUUUAGCCAUGUAUUCAGAUAUUCUGGUAUUUCGGAGGAGAAUGUCAACGACUGGGGUUCACAGUUGGUGUGGGCAAGCUUCAUGGAGAAACUGGCGGUGACCGUAAAUUUAAUCUCGGGCUACCACCCACAGGCAAAAGGCCAUGUAGAGCGAGCAAACCAAGAGCUGAUUUCUCCGCACCUUCUGUGCAGCUAACCCUGAUGACUGGUCCCAGUUCCUACCAUGGGCAGAAGGGGGGCAGUCGUGGCCUAAUGGAUAGAAAGUCGGACUUGCGACCCGAAGAUGAACCUGAAGGUUGUGGGCUCGAGUCUCAGGUCCGGCAGGGAUUGUGGGUGGGGGGAGUGAAUGACCAGCGCUCUCUUCCACCCUCAAUACCACGACUGAGGUGAGACCCUUGAGCAAGGCACUGAACCCCCAACUGCUCCCCGGGUGCUGCAGCAAAAAAGGCUGCCCACUGCUCCGGGUGUGUGUUCAUGGUGUGUGUGUGUGUGUGUGUUCACUACUGUGUGUGUGCAUUUGGAUGGGUUAAAUGCAGAGCACAAAUUCCUAGUAUGGGUCACCAUACUUGGCCACAAGACACUUCACUUUCACUUUCACUUUCAAGGCGCACAAAACUGCCUGGUGAACAUCCCCGUUACCAAUCAGGUGAUCAUGGUCUGGCUCUCUACCCGGGACCUGAGACAACCCCACACCUGUAAGAAGCUCAGCCCCAGGUACACUGGCCUAUUCAAGAUUCUGAGACAGAUAAAUGAAGUUACCUACAAGCUUGACUUACCUCGUCACAGUCGCAUAGCUCCUUCCUUUCAUGUCUCCUGACUCAAACCAGUUGUCCCUUGCCCUCUAGCCACAGACGUUCCUCCCAAUAACCCCCCUGAUCCCCUGGAUAUUGAAGGCCAACCAGCCUACCUGGUAAGAUCUAUUCUAAACUCCCAUUGGAGUACCUUGUCGAAUGAGAGGGUUAUGGCCCAGAGGAACAAUGCUGGAUUGUACUGGAGGCAUCAAGCCAUCCUGAGCGUCCUGGUCCACGGCCUAAGGGGAGGCCCAGGAGGAACUUUGCUCUCAGAGUGAGCCCUUCAGGGGGGACUGUCAUAUCACAACAAAUCAAGGACUCCAACUCCCAGCAGACAUCAUGGCCUCUUCGGACUACACUCCACAGAUCACUCACAUGCUCCCUCAUUCACAGUCACCCAGCUCCUAAUUGAGCACACCUGUUCACAAUUACACACACAAACAGGACACUUUCUAUAGAGACUCUCAGUCACAUACAGGUUGCAAAGUAUGUGCUCAGCUUGUCCUCGUACACCAAGUCUUAGUUUAUUGUUGUUUUCCCUGGUUUUUGACACAGCCCCUUUAUUGUUUCUGAUUUCUGUCUUUCCUAGUUUAGUAUGUUUGCUGAUCUACCCACCUGUGCCUGUUUCUGGACUUUGAUCUUGAUUGGUGAUUUGGAUUUGUUUUUUUUUCUUAAAGCUGCCUUACCUGCAAUUGCUUCCGUCUAUGCCUCCAGUACAUGACAGUUACUACAAAAAAUAUUAGUGAACCAUUUCCAGAGGCAGCCCUGCAAGCCCCCGCCCCAUGACACUACUUCUGCAAUGCUUGACUGAUGAGCGUUUGUGUUUUGGAUCAUGAGCAGAUCCUGUCUUUCUCCACACUUUUUCCUUUCUAUCACUUUGGUAGGGGUUAAUCUUGGUUCCAGAAUUUUUGUGGCUCAUCGCUAUAUUUCUUUAGGACUUCUGGCUUUUCGAAUUCUUACUGCUGAUGAGUGGUUUGCAUCUUGUGGUAUGGCCUCUAUAUUUCUGCUCUUGAAGUCUUUUUCGAACUGUGAUACCUUCACCCCUGCCCUGUGGUUGUUUUCAGGUUUUUCUUCACAGUUCUCACAAUAUUUCUUUCAUCUACUGCUGUUGUUUUCCCUGGCCGACCUGUUCCAUAUCUGGUUGUUUGUCCAACAGUGGUUUAUUUUUCAGGACAGUACAACAAAUUGGACUGAUCGCAUUGAGUUAUAUCCAAUGCUUUUCCCUCUUUUCACAGAUUCAAAAUAGCUUGCUUUUCUCCCAUAGACAGCUCUCUGGUCUUAAUGUUGGUUUAUCCUUUUUAACAACAAGUGCAGUCUUCACAGGUGAAACCCAGGGCUCAAACCAAGAGUAGAACAUUCUGAACAAUUAAUUGUUUAAACAAUCAUUCUAAGAGGGCACACCUGGGCAACAAGAAACCCCUGUCAGUCACAUGUUCCAAUAUUUUUGUUCCCUUGAAAAAUGAGUGUGUUCAUACUAAAUGUUAAUACAAAAUCAAGAUGUAAAUAUCAAGGAAAUGAAAGCUGAAAUUCUGAUCUAUUGUCUCAUUCAUCAUUUGAUCUCAGUCCCAAAUGUCUUCAGUGUGUACCCAAACCAAAAUAUUGGCCUGGUAUGUUUGGUGUUCACAGUCUUUCCUGCACCAGAUUCUCCACUGGGGGUAGAAAGAAUAAACAAAUGCCUACACUUUAGAACACAAAUAAGUCAGUUCUAGAGGCUGCUGUUCAUGCCUUAUAGGUCAUUAUCAUACUGCUAUCAUGUGUUGAUGAUUAGGAAACAUGUUUGAGUCACAACCGUUGCUUGUUUUAAAAGUUUUUAUUGUGCAUGGUGCAUGUAUCUAGAUGAUGGUGUGUUACAAAAUAAUAUGGCACAAAGUAUAAUUAAGUAUAUCACUCACACCUUUCUCUUCAUUUUCCAUUUCAGUCUCUAUCUGAAUUUGUCUGCUUUAGUGACUUUUCCCAGGUAAACAAGAUGCAAGGACUUGAAUAUAUUUGAUGCAAAUUUAUUUAUUUAGCUUAUGCAUGGACAUUAACAAGAAACAUAUUAUAUGGUUGCUUGUUGGUGCCCGGUGAUGUUGGUCUUCAUCUUUCAUUCAGCCACAUCUUUGCUCUAAAAAGUUAUAUACAUUAUUAUAAAAGUUGGAUUUUAAGUAUGUACAAGGUUUUUAUUUUAAAAAAAAAUUCUACAAUUGAAAUAAAAUUUCAUAAAAA
Pangasianodon hypophthalmus (striped catfish) is the source of this 7626-nucleotide long non-coding RNA. RefSeq lists it as uncharacterized. The record is from RefSeq and is a predicted model, not a curated record. The transcript is spliced from 2 exons. NCBI's taxonomy places the organism in Eukaryota, Metazoa, Chordata, Actinopteri, Siluriformes, Pangasiidae.